GCGGAAUUUACAAGCAUUUCAUAACACACCAGAGUUAUGUUCAUGCUGAAGCUCUCUCCAAACAUGGACCCUUGCCUUCUGUGGCCAUACUUUACAAUCUGUAAAGAAAGGACUUCUAUGCAACCUUCUUCAGCUGUUCUGCAGUGGCUAUUCGUGAAACUCUUCCCCAGCAGCAUCUCAGGUCGGCAGCAGUAAGUCACAUAAAUUAUA
RNAcentral lists this long non-coding RNA (210 nucleotides) under Gallus gallus (chicken). The record is from RNAcentral. Lineage: Eukaryota; Metazoa; Chordata; Aves; Galliformes; Phasianidae.